RNAcentral lists this ribosomal RNA (301 nucleotides) under uncultured bacterium. RNAcentral's name for it is "partial 16S ribosomal RNA". It matches the Rfam family "Bacterial small subunit ribosomal RNA", at positions 509 to 807 of the family's 1533-position model. The record is from RNAcentral.
CAGUAGCCACGGGAAUACGGAGGGUGCAAGCGUUAAUCGGAAUUACUGGGCGUAAAGCGCACGCAGGCGGUUUGUUAAGUUGGAUGUGAAAUCCCCGGGCUCAACCUGGGAACUGCAUCCAAAACUGGCAGGCUAGAGUAGGGCAGAGGGUGGUGGAAUUUCCUGUGUAGCGGUGAAAUGCGUAGAUAUAGGAAGGAACACCAGUGGCGAAGGCGACCACCUGGGCUCAUACUGACACUGAGGUGCGAAAGCGUGGGGAGCAAACAGGAUUAGAUACCCCUGUAGUCCCUGUCUCUUAUAC